RNAcentral lists this ribosomal RNA (253 nucleotides) under uncultured bacterium. RNAcentral describes it as "partial 16S ribosomal RNA". It matches the Rfam family "Bacterial small subunit ribosomal RNA", at positions 524 to 776 of the family's 1533-position model. The record is from RNAcentral.
UACGUAGGGUGCGAGCGUUGUCCGGAAUUAUUGGGCGUAAAGGGCUCGUAGGCGGUCUGUCACGUCGGGAGUGAAAACACGGGGCUUAACCCCGUGCCUGCUUCCGAUACGGGCAGACUAGAGGUAUGCAGGGGAGAAUGGAAUUCCUGGUGUAGCGGUGGAAUGCGCAGAUAUCAGGAGGAACACCGGUGGCGAAGGCGGGUCUCUGGGCCGUUACUGACGCUGAGGAGCGAAAGCGUGGGGAGCGAACAGG